Molecule: long non-coding RNA, 1254 nt
Organism: Sarcophilus harrisii (Tasmanian devil)
Lineage: Eukaryota; Metazoa; Chordata; Mammalia; Dasyuromorphia; Dasyuridae
Exons: 2
Source: RefSeq, a predicted model, not a curated record
GUGUGUGCGCGCGUGUAUGUGUGUGUGCGUGUGUGUGCGCGCGCGAGUGUGUGAGUGCGGUUUCAUGUGUGUGACUGUAUGGGUGCGCGCGUGUGUGUGCGUGCGUCGUCCCUCCCCCGCCCGUCGUGGCCCGAGACCCGAGCAAGAGCCUAGGGCCCCAGGGCCGGGACAGUUCCAGCAGCAGCGCCACCAGCUCCAGCGCCGCGCACUCUCCCUCGACCUGGGGUCAAGAUUCGGGCGAGACCCUAGCGUCACAGCAACCUGGCCGGAGCAGGAAACUGGGGUGGGGGAGUAGGGAAAAAGACGGGCAGGUGGGGUCCCAGAUCUCUCACUCCCUGGAGCGGUCAGUAAUCAGGCCAAGGUUGGAGACUGGGGAGGGCUGAGCUACAGCCUGGUAGGCUGGGCAACUCCUGCUGGGCAGGAGGCGGGGCGGGGUGGGGCAGCGCUCUGGGACUGGGAUGCUCUCCUCCCCGGAGGUUCGAGUGUUUGUGUCUUUCAGCUUUCGGACAGCGCCUGGGGCCUGCGCCGGGGAAGGACUAAAGGAAGGCUUGCUCCGGAACCAGGAGAAAAGACCACCGGAGAGGGAGCCGAGCUGUGAGUCUGGAAAGAUUUAACAUCCCAACGCUGGCAAUGUACUAUCGUGGCAUUCUGCUUCGCCCCUCUUCUGCCAGCCUCAAAGCCCAGGGCUGCUCAAAAUGGUAGAGAAACGCAGCCUGGACCUACCUUAACCAAAGGACCUCUUUUCAGCACAGUUCCCUGGAAACAGAAGAUGAGAAAACUGAGGCUCCGUAUGGACUUGUCACAUAGUAAGUGGUAAAGGCGGAAUUUCAACUCAUAUUUCUAACUCCAAGUUCAGUGAUAUUUCUGGACUACAACAGGUUGCCUAUCAAAAUCUGACUAGCAGGAAAUGUGUCUUGUUUGGACCUCAGGGUUUCUGCACUCUCUCACAAAAUCCUUGAUGCAAGAAUCCAGCAAGAACCCCUCUCCUCGACCCCAUUUCCAUAUGACGCAGAGUAUCAUCUCUCCAGCACUCAACUGAAUCCUCUGGAGAUAAUUCCAGACAUGGCAGAGAAUAAAUCCUUCUUUAAGACUUGUAGCACAUCUUUCUCUUCUGUGUCUUUUUUGCUUCUCAAACUAUCUUCUUUUCAUCCACCCCAAGACUCAUAAAUCAGAUAUUCAGCCCCUUGGAUUUGAGUGUGAACACAGAGAAAUACAGCACUGGCUCCUCUCCUUCCCAGUUGGAGACUGAGAGGU